UACGUAGGGAGCUAGCGUUGUCCGGAAUCAUUGGGCGUAAAGCGCGCGUAGGCGGCCCGGUCAGUCCGCUGUAAAAGUCAAAGGCUCAACCUUUGAAGGUCAGUGGAUACUGCCGGGCUAGAGUCCGGAAGAGGCGAGUGGAAUUCCUGGUGUAGCGGUGGAAUGCGCAGAUAUCAGGAGGAACACCAACGGCGAAGGCAGCUCGCUGGAACGGUACUGACGCUGAGGCGCGAAAGCGUGGGGAGCGAACAGG
Molecule: ribosomal RNA, 253 nt
Filed under: uncultured bacterium
Lineage: Bacteria
Description: partial 16S ribosomal RNA
Rfam family: Bacterial small subunit ribosomal RNA
Source: RNAcentral